RNAcentral lists this transfer RNA (76 nucleotides) under Candidatus Cloacimonadota bacterium. Its description in RNAcentral is "tRNA-Ala". It matches the Rfam family "tRNA". From Rfam's summary of the family: Transfer RNA (tRNA) molecules are approximately 80 nucleotides in length. Their secondary structure includes four short double-helical elements and three loops (D, anti-codon, and T loops). Lineage: Bacteria; Pseudomonadati; Candidatus Cloacimonadota. The record is from RNAcentral.
GGGGCUGUAGCUCAGUUGGGAGAGCAACGGGUUCGCAAUCCGUGUGUCGGGGGUUCGACUCCCCUCAGCUCCACCA